UCCAGCAAUGAUGUACGGGUAAAACUCAAAUAAGAAGAUCCAAACUGAAAGUUCAACUGAAGAGCUUCGAUUUGCAAAAAGAAUCAAUCGAAUCGGAGCUACGGAACUGAAACUACGGUCAAAAAAACUUCGAAUUCAAAUCUGCUUGAAACCAAAUUUUAAAUUGUCAAAACCUUGUUCAAGUUGAUUAAACGGAAAGAGGGGCUCGAGAUGAAGAUUUUGGCGUUGGUUUCACUUGAUUUGGACGAACGGUUGAAAAGUUGCGAGGGUUUGAAGAUCAGGGGCUAAUCUGUGAUAAAAAUAAUCGCGGAUAGGUCCCUGGCCGAAAAAACAGAAAAAGAAAAAUCUAUCGGACGAACGUCCGCUAACAGAGGCAAACGGGCGAAUUCGUUCUUUAAAACGAAUGAAUGAACGAACGAACGCUCGCUAAACGAACUAAACCGAGAACACCGAACCGAUCUAACAGGAAAAAAACUAAUCUAGUUUUUUUAAAAACCGAUCGGUUUUUUUACCUAAACCAGAAAAAAAACAACGGCGGCGGCUCGGAUCUGGCGGCGGCGGCGCGAGGCGGGCGACGGCGCGGCGGGGCAGCGGGCGGCACGCGCGGNNNNNNNNNNNNNNNNNNNNNNNNNNNNNNNNNNNNNNNNNNNNNNNNNNNNNNNNNNNNNNNNNNNNNNNNNNNNNNNNNNNNNNNNNNNNNNNNNNNNNNNNNNNNNNNNNNNNNNNNNNNNNNNNNNNNNNNNNNNNNNNNNNNNNNNNNNNNNNNNNNNNNNNNNNNNNNNNNNNNNNNNNNNNNNNNNNNNNNNNNNNNNNNNNNNNNNNNNNNNNNNNNNNNNNNNNNNNNNNNNNNNNNNNNNNNNNNNNNNNNNNNNNNNNNNNNNNNNNNNNNNNNNNNNNNNNNNNNNNNNNNNNNNNNNNNNNNNNNNNNNNNNNNNNNNNNNNNNNNNNNNNNNNNNNNNNNNNNNNCCGGAGUCCGGCUUGGGCACAUGGGCGAGCGGGGGAAGGCGGUGGCGCGCGACGGGUCGGCUGGGCUUCGGCCGAGUUCGGUCCGGGAGUUUUUUUUAAAUAGAUUCCGCCGAAGAAAAAUCCUAAAAAAAUAUAAAAAAAUCUAAAAAAAUGCCAAAAACAAUUUUCACCGUCUAAAAAAAAUAUUUAGAACUUAGUGAAAUUUUUCUUGGCCUAAAAAUGCUAUUUUGAAAAAUGCAUAUUUUUCUAAUUCAAAUAAAAUAGCAAUAAAAUCCAAAUAAAAUUAUUUAUUUGGUUUUAACAUUUUUGCUCCAAUAUUUCGUUCAGUUUGGAGAAGUCAUAUUAUCUCCUCUUAUUUAUUUUUAUAUUGGAAAUAUUUUUUUCUAAGAGAAAAAUAAUUAAAACCAAAGUGAUCCAUUUCUCAAUAUUUGAGAAAAUUUCAAAUAUGAAAAUAAUAAAAUCCCCAACUCUCUCCGUGGGUCCUUGAGUUGCUUAGGGUUUUUAGGAUCACUAAACCAAAAUGCAAAUAAAAUAUGAUAUGCAUAUGAUGACCUAUGUAUAACAUUCCAAAUUGAAAUUUGGGAUGUUACAAACCUACCCCCCUUAAGGUGAAUCUCGCCCUCGAGAUUCGGGUUGGCUAGAAAAUAGGCGUGGGUCGUCUUUCCUUAGAUCAUCCUCUCGUUCCCAGGUGGCUUCAUCCUCUGUAUGGUGGCUCCACUGAACUUUGCAAAACUUGAUAACCUUGUUGCGGGUAACUCGGCUGGCAAACUCGAGAAUCUUGACUGGUUUCUCCUCGUAGGUCAAAUCACUAUCUAACUGAAUUGCUUCCAGGGGCACUGUAUCUCUCAGAGGGAUAUCGGCCAUCUCCGCAUGGCACUUCUUCAACUGGGAAAUCUGAAACACAUCGUGAACUCCUGACAGUCCUUUGGGUAACUCCAACUUGUAGGCCACCUCUCCCAUACGUUCCAAAACUCGGUAUGGUCCUACAAAUCUCGGGGCUAACUUUCCCUUAACUCCAAAGCGUUUAACUCCUCACAGAGGUGACACACGAAGUAUGCUCUGUCUCCGAUUUCAUAGACUACCUCCUUGCGCUUGGUAUCGGCAUAACUCUUCUGCCUGGACUAAGCUACCUUCAGUCUAUCCCGAAUCAACUUAACCUUCUCUUCUGACUCUUUGAUCAAAUCUGGUCCAAACAACUGACGGUCUCCAACUUCAUCCCACAUUAACGGUGUCCUGCACCUCCUUCCAUACAAAGUUUCGAAAGGUGCCAUCUUCAAACUAGCCUAGUAGCUGUUGUUGUAGGAGAACUUUGCGUAGGGCAAAUUAUCAUCCCAACUAGAUCCAUAAUCUAGCGCACAAGCUCUCAACAUGUCCUCCACAAUCUGAUUGACUCUCUCGGUCUGUCCAUCUGUCUGCGGAUGAAAGGCUGUACUAAACUCUAGUCUGGUUCCCAAGGUCUGGUGCAGCUGGUGCCAAAACUUUGAAGUAAACUGUGUUCCUCUAUCUGAUACGAUGGUCCUCGGAACUCCAUGCAGACAUACGAUCCUGGUUAUAUAUAUCUUGGGCAACUUCGCACUUGUAUAUGUGGUUUUCACUAGGAUAAAGUGAGCUACUUUGUUCAGACGAUCCACUACUACCCAAAUAGAAUCAUAUCCCGAUUGGGUCCUGGGUAAUCCGGUGAUAAAAUCCAUGCCAAGCUUAUCCCACUUCCACUCGGGUAUCGGCAUAGGCUGCAGUAAUCCUGCUGGCUUUCUGAUGUUCUGCCUUCACUCUUUGACAUACAUGACAUACGGCUACAUACUCGGCAAUAUCCUUCUUCAUACCAGUCCACCAGAAACGCUCCUUUAAAUCCAAAUACAUCUUGGUGUUUCCGGGGUGUAUUGAGUAUGGCGAGUCAUGAGCUUCCUGUAGUAUCAACUUCCUGAUCUCUGCAUUAUUGGGUACAUAUACAUGGUCCUCAAACCACAAGGUGUCGUGCUCAUCCUCACAAAAACCUUUGGCUUUUCCUUUGCUCAUCUUCUCCUUUAUCUCGGCAAUUGCCUUGUCAUCCUUCUGAGCUUCUCGAAUCUUUCCCAAUAAUGUCGAUUGAACUUCCAAUGCUGCAACAAAACCUCUAGGGACUAUCUCCAAACGAAGCUCCCUGAGAUCUUUGGCUAACUCCUUUGGCAAUCCUCCGCUUACGAGGGUAUUGGCAUAACUCUUCCGGCUCAAAGCGUCUACUACGACAUUGGCCUUGCCUGGAUGAUAAUGCAACUUCAUAUCAUAAUCCUUUAUAAGCUCCAACCAUCUCCUUUGCCUGAGAUUCAGCUCCUUCUGUGUGAAAAUAUACUUCAGACUCUUAUGAUCCGUGUACACAUCACAACGAGUUCCAAUAAAAAUGUCUCCAGGUCUUGAGUGCAUGCACUACAACUGCUAGCUCCAAAUCAUGUGUGGCAUAAUUCAACUCAUGCGGUCGAAGCUAACGUGAGGCGUAUGAAAUAACUUUUUCGUCCUGCAUAAGUACACCUCCAAGUCCUAAGCGAGAAGCGUCACAAUACACUUGGAAAUCCUUGCGUAUAUCCGGCAGAAUCAACACUGGGGCUGUAACCAAACGUUUCUUCAGCUCCUGGAAACUUGCCUCACAUUCAUCUGUCCAUUUGAACUUGGUGUCCUUCUUCAACAACUCCGUCAUGGGCUUCGCAAUCUUAGAAAAAUUCUCAAUGAAUCUCCGGUAGUAUCUCGCGAGUCCAAGAAAACUGUGGAUCUCUCCUACUGAGGUGGGUGCCAACCACUCAAUGACUGACUGAACCUUGGUGGGGUCUACUGCUAUACCUUCUCCUGAUAUAACAUGUCCAAGAAAUCCAACUUCCUUCAACCAAAACUCACACUUGCUGAACUUGGCGUAUAACUGAUGUUCCCUGAGCUUCUCGAGAACUAAACGCAAAUGCUUCUUAUGCUCCUCUUCAUUCUUCGAGUAUACCAAGAUAUCAUCAAUGAACCCACGACAAACUUAUCCAAGAACUCCAUGAACACCUUAUUCAUCAUACUCAUGAAAUAGGCAGGGGCAUUAGUCAAUCCAAAUGACAUAACCGUAUACUCAUAUAACCCGUACCUUGUGGUGAAAGUUGUCUUAGGUAUAUCCUGUUCUCGGAUCUUCAGCUGGUGGUAUCCUGAUCGCAGGUCGAUCUUGGAGAAUACUUUAGCUCCUUGUAGCUGGUCAAACAAAUCAUUGAUCAUCGGUAGUGGGUACUUUUUCUUGAGCGUCACUUCAUUCAGUGCCCAAUAGUCAACAACCAUUCUCAAGGAUCCAUCCUUCUUCUCAACCAAAAGCACUUGGGCUCCCCAUGGUGACGAACUUCGUCGAAUGUAACCUUUCUCCAAUAACUCCUUAAUCUGCUUCUUAAUCUCCUCCAGAUCAUUUGCGGGCAUCCGGUAUGGUCCCUUCGAUAUUGGUCCGGUGCCUGGCAACAACUCUAUCAAAAACUCAAUGUCUCGAUCCGGUGGCAUGCCUAGCAGUUCCUCUGGAAAUACAUCUUGGUAAUCCUUCACUACAGGCACUUCCUCCUGAACAACUCCAGAGAGAGAAUUUACUUGGGUCCUCCUUGGCGCAUGCCUGGAUACAUACUUGAUCAUUUUUCCCUCCGGUGUUGUGAGCAGAAUUGACUUACUGGCGCAAUCGAUGUUUCCUCCAUACAUCGAUAGCCAAUGCAUUCCUAGUAUCACAUCCAAACCUUGUGACUCCAAAAUUAUCAGGUCUGAGGGGAAAACAUUGCUUCCAAUGGUCAAUGGCAUCUGAAAACAUCCUUAAGUUGCCAUAUAUUCUGCUCCUGGCGAACUUACUAACAUUGGUGUCCUAAGUACCUUAGUGGGCAACUUAUACUUAUCCACGAAUCCCCUUGAUAUGUAUGAAUGCGAUGCACCAGUAUAAAAAAGAAUGAUUGCAGUAAAUGACUUAACGAAAAACUUACCGAUAACUGCAUCUGGCUGCUCUCCAACCUCCUCCACGUUCACGUGGUUCACUUGUCCCCUGUUGAAAGGGUUGGGCUUCUUCCCAGAGCUUCCAUUGCCAUUUCCAUUCUUUGGUUCAGGACACUCAUUGGCGUAGUGUCCAGUCUUCCCGCACUUAAAACAAGUAAUGUGACUUUGGUCCUUCUUGGCGGGUGUGGCUGGGUUAGAGCGGUUCUGACUACUGCCUGCUCCAUUCCCAUUUCCAUUCUUGGGGCCACUGUGUUUAUGUGAGCUUCCUCCAUUAUGAGUAUGGCCUCCAUGGUUAUGGGUAUAUCCUCCUGAUUUCGGGGUAAAACGAGGCUUCUGCUGAGCUCCUGAAUUGUACUUCCCUUGUCCAUACUUCCUUUUGCAGCUCUCAAUCUGCUGCUGCUUCACUUCAAUCAUAAGAGCCUUGUCUACCAACUCCUGGUAGUUGUUAAAUGUUGCCACCAUUAACUGCAUACUCAUCUCAUCAUUCAGCCCUUCCAUAAACUUCUCCUGCUUAGCGGCAUCUGUGGCCACAUCAUAUGGGGCAUAGCGGGCUAACUUACUAAACUCAUCCACGUACUGCCCCACAGUACGAUUUCUUUGGCGUAAGUUGCAAAACUCACGCUUCUUCAUGCUCAUAGCUCCAGUUGAGACAUGAGCAGUGCGGAAUGCUUGCUGAAACUGCUCCCAAGUGACAUUGGCUAUGGGGAAAGUGGCCGUGUAAUUCUCCCACCACGAGGCCGCGGGUCCAUCCAAUUGAUGUGCGGCAAAACGCACCUUCUCAGCAUCUGUGCAACCUGCGGUGGUCAACUCCCUUCCAAUCCUGCGUAGCCAUUCAUCAGCAACUAUUGGCUCGGUGCUACUGGAAAACAACGAUGGUUGCAACCUCAGAAAACGGGCUAAGUUGUCAACUGGAGGUGGUGGCGGUGGGUGGUUGUUGUUGUUGUUGUUGCCUUGGUUCCGGACUAGUUGUUGUAUCAAUAUAUUCUGCUGUUGGAUCAACUGGGUGAUCUCCAAUGGGAAGACAAAUCCGGUGUCACGUCUCGGAGGCAUCUGAUGGGUUUAGAGGGAGAGAUUAGAAUAGAAUGAGGUCUAGUGAGAAAACACUACCCAUAUGCACAUGAGACAAACACAAUCAUAUCACACCAAUCAAUUCAAACAAGGGCAUACAAUCGAUCUAACUAUCGUACAAAAGUGCUUGGACUACUACUAUAUACAUGGGAGUAUACUACUGAUAAUAUGGUGGUCUACUAGAAAUUUUGAUCAGUGGAAGACUACAUGAUAUCCGCUCCAGCUUCGUCUUCAUAAUCAUCAUCACUACUGUUGGGGUCGGAGUCGGUGUCGUCGAUGAUGAUGUAGUCUUCAGAACGGAUGUCGUUGGGAUGGUCGUCAUCUCCUCCUGGCACGGGGUCUCCCAUGAAUACUCCUAGCUUCCUUGUCAGUUCGUCAUUCUUCUCCACUAGUAUUGUGAUUUCCUCCUCGUAUCCGUCGCGUGUAGACUUGAGUUCCUCUUCUAGCUCCAUGUUCCUGGUCAUCACCUUCUUCAGAUCUAUCAUGCUUGCGCACAUCUGGUUCUCCUGGCGACGAAUGUGCUGGUUUAACUCCUGGAUGAAGGAUGCAAUGGACCUGUCCCUCCUGGUGCCGAUCAUCUCCCAUUGCUCAUCUCGGCGCCCACAUAUCUGGUAGAUGGUGUCCUUAAGAUCCUUGUUAUAAACUUCGCCGAUGCGUCCCAUGGCGAUGUGGGUUGCCAAGCUCUUUCCUAGACUCCAGGUUGGUGCAUCAAAGGAAUACUCUAUGGGCUCAGUGACUGGCAUGAAUGUCCUUUCUGGAACUUGAACUCGAAUCAUCCAACGCUUCUCUUCUGGUAAAGUGGCGGUGUAGGUCCCGGUGAAGCUUGGUAUUCCGAUGUUCAGGUACCUAGUGACUUCCUUCAAGUGUCUCCCGAAGGAUGUGUCUUCAUCCGGUUGUGCAAACUUGUUCCUUGAGUCUGCCAUCCAAAAGAGUAGAAAAUGGAGAGGAGUCAGAAAUGACUAGAGAAGAGUGACCUAUGGCUCAACUUAGUGGUCGUGUCCUACAUUCAGCGUGUGCUCUGAUACCAUCUUGUAGCGAUCUGACCUCAGGCGGUCAAAUCUCUGUGUAUAAGUGUCAUCCCUGGAUCGGUAAUGUUGACACACACAUUACUUGAAGGAUUUAUAACAGAGUGCAAUCACACACUUAUUACAUCGAAUGUCUCAAAAGAGAACUUAUUACAAUAAAUAUGGCUUAAGGCCAUAUAAACAAAAUAACAACGGAAGGCUUGGAAGAUAAAGUGAGUCCAUCAACUCCAACGGCAUAGCUGAGUGCACGACAAUGACCUAGCGCACCUUACUCUUCAUCUGAAAAGUCUGCAACAUGAUAUGUUGCAGCCCAAAACGGGUCAGCACAUGGAAUAUGUUGGCAAUAUAGCACAGUAGAGCAAUGAACAAUAAAUGCUAUCACUACAUGCAUAUAUGGCUGGUGGAGGCUCUAUGGUUACAAUGUUUUUGCGAAAAGCCAAUUUUUUCCUACAUCAAAGGAAUAUAUUUUGUUUAACUAUCAAGGUAGUUGAUAAACAUUGAGAAUGGUAAAAACCCAUCUCAAUCCCAAUUAAACAAGUAAUUAGCAACCCAACAAAUUAAUUUAGAGUGAUGAGAUCAACAUGAUAAUUCAAGAACCAGAUACUCAAGAUGUCCAUAACCAUGGACACGGCUAAUCAUGAUUAGUGUGUACACUAUGCAGAGGUUUGCGCACUUUUCCCCACAAGACUCGAUCUCCGCCGUUGGAUUUCUCGCACUACAUGGUGUUUGAGAAACGGAUGACCGAGACAUAGUCUUUCAAAAACAUUAACUCUUUACUCUGGGUGGACAGUUAGACCUACUUUCCCCUACAUCUGCUAGCCCACCACUGAAAGAGGUCAUGCAACAUACUCAACUAUGCUAGAGCCCAUAAUAGCUUGUGGCUGCACACGGAAGUUUCUAGCAUGAAUAAUCUUAUGAUCCCUUUGAGCUUGGGUGGCGAACCAAAAGGACAGCACUGGUAUAUCCCCAGGUGCCCGCAACCAAUCCAGCCAGAUGUGUGUUUAAGUAGACACCUUAAGUUAACCAAUAAUUAGCAAUCUCACAUCUGUCAUGGAUACACUCAAAUCCAAACCACGUCUACGAGCAUAGCAUGGCAAUAUAAGCGUAAUGUAGAAGUAACUCCCAAGGGUUUGAUAAUAAAAGGGCAAUAGGUUCUACUUCAUCAUCUACUUCCCAAUACCCACAAGUUAAAUCACAUCCUAACCAUGCAGUGUUUGAGGAUUGUAACUAAUGCAUGAAAACUGGGUAUGAAAAUAGUAUGAUCAAUGUGUUACUUGCCUUGCUGACGAUCCGCAAACCCUAGAGACUCGUAUUAGCACGCUUCGCACUCCGGAAAUUCUAUCGCAAACAAACAAUAGCAUACAUAGGCACUCCAGCAAUGAUGCACAGGUAAAACUCAAAUAAGAAGAUCCAAACUGAAAGUUCAACUGAAGAGCUUCGAUUUCCAAAAAGAAUCAAUCGAAUCGGAGCUAUGGAACUGAAACUAUGGUCAAAAGAAUUUUGAAUUCAAAUCUUCUUGAAACCAAAUUUUAAAUUUUCAAAACCUUGUUCAAGUUGAUUAAACAGAAAGAGGGGCUCGAGAUGAAGAUUUU
This 8608-nucleotide long non-coding RNA is filed under the name Triticum aestivum (bread wheat). RNAcentral's name for it is "long non-coding RNA (TAES_LNC017848)". Lineage: Eukaryota; Viridiplantae; Streptophyta; Magnoliopsida; Poales; Poaceae. The record is from RNAcentral.